UAUCGCAUGAAAACAUACCUUAACAUAAGUAUUCCGGUAGAUGGUGUGGCAAUCGUAUCAUGUUAUUCUCUCCUUGGUAGCUUUUUCUCCCCCCCCACUAUUACUCCCAAAUGAGAAUGUGAUGUCAUGUACUGAAAAUUUAGAGCCUUGUCUGGCAAAGCUGUGUAUUAUAUCUUCAACACAAAACACGAACAUAAUCUCGUCUCGAUUGUCAUUUGAAACGGGAUUAAGUAACAGUGAAGACUUAUGGGUGCAAAUAAAGCCUCAAACUGAGAUACAAUUAUCUGCAGACAUGUGUCCAAUAAACAAUUUGCAUAAUCCGCAAAUAAUGAAAGAUAAAAUAGUCCAUGAACGAUCUACAGGUCUAUAAGGAAAUCUACGGUAGAAUCUCUUCUCUGCAGCAAUCACACGUGGAUUAUCUCGUUAAUAGCAUUCGAACGAGGGGAGUGGGAAUUGAAUGGAGCAAAGAUUUCGACUUUAUCCCCCCCGUUGCCACACCGAUCAAAAAUACUAAUAAAAGAGAAGCCCCUGGAAACGUAAAUAUCUCGAAAAGUUAUAAAUGUUGGAAACAAAAUAUCGUUGGAAAAUAUCGAGAAGCAUA
Molecule: unclassified non-coding RNA, 601 nt
Filed under: Apis dorsata (giant honeybee)
Lineage: Eukaryota; Metazoa; Arthropoda; Insecta; Hymenoptera; Apidae
Description: uncharacterized LOC102681126, transcript variant X1
Source: RNAcentral